CCCUUAGAUGUUCUGGGCUGCACGCGCGCUACACUGAUGCGUUCAACAAGUUGGACCUCGUCCGAGAGGAAAUCGGGGGAAUCUUUUGAAAACGUAUCGUGAUGGGGAUAGAUUAUUGUAAUUAUUAAUCUUCAACGAGGAAUUCCUAGUAAGCAUGAAUCAUCAGCUCGUGCUGAUUACGUCCCUGCCCUUUGUACACACCGCCCGUCGCUACUACCGAUUGAAUGGUUUAGUGAGGCCUUCGGAUCCGCGACUCGUUUUGUGGAGAAGUUGGACAAACUCAGUCAUUUAGAGGAAGUAAAAGUCGUAACA
Molecule: ribosomal RNA, 312 nt
Filed under: uncultured eukaryote
Lineage: Eukaryota
Description: partial 18S ribosomal RNA
Rfam family: Eukaryotic small subunit ribosomal RNA
Source: RNAcentral